AGAUUAAGUUAUUAAGGGCGCACGGUGGAUGCCUUGGCACUAGAAGCCGAUGAAGGACGUUACUAACGACGAUAUGCUUUGGGGAGCUGUAAGUAAGCUUUGAUCCAGAGAUUUCCGAAUGGGGAAACCCAGCAUGAGUUAUGUCAUGUUAUCGAUAUGUGAAUACAUAGCAUAUCAGAAGGCACACCCGGAGAACUGAAACAUCUUAGUACCCGGAGGAAGAGAAAGAAAAUUCGAUUCCCUUAGUAGCGGCGAGCGAAACGGGAAGAGCCCAAACCAACAAGCUUGCUUGUUGGGGUUGUAGGACACUCUGUACGGAGUUACAAAGGACGACAUUAGACGAAUCAUCUGGAAAGAUGAAUCAAAGAAGGUAAUAAUCCUGUAGUCGAAAAUGUUGUCUCUCUUGAGUGGAUCCUGAGUACGACGGAGCACGUGAAAUUC
This 441-nucleotide ribosomal RNA is filed under the name Staphylococcus aureus. Its description in RNAcentral is "partial 23S ribosomal RNA". It matches the Rfam family "Bacterial large subunit ribosomal RNA", at positions 1 to 434 of the family's 2925-position model. Lineage: Bacteria; Bacillati; Bacillota; Bacilli; Caryophanales; Staphylococcaceae. The record is from RNAcentral.